GUAAGGAAUAUUGGUCAAUGGAGGCAACUCUGAUCCAGCCAUGCCGCGUGUGUGAAGAAGGUCUUCGGAUUGUAAAGCACUUUAAGUUGGGAGGAAGGGUAGUAACCUAAUACGUUGCUACUUUGACGUUACCGACAGAAUAAGCACCGGCUAACUUCGUGCCAGCAGCCGCGGUAAUACGAAGGGUGCAAGCGUUAAUCGGAAUUACUGGGCGUAAAGCGCGCGUAGGUGGUUCAGUAAGUUGGAAGUGAAAUCCCCGGGCUCAACCUGGGAACUGCUUUCAAAACUGCUGAGCUAGAGUACGGUAGAGGGUGGUGGAAUUUCCUGUGUAGCGGUGAAAUGCGUAGAUAUAGGAAGGAACACCAGUGGCGAAGGCGACCACCUGGACUGAUACUGACACUGAGGUGCGAAAGCGUGGUGAGCAAACAGGAUUAGAAACCCUUGUAGUCC
This 450-nucleotide ribosomal RNA is filed under the name uncultured bacterium. RNAcentral's name for it is "partial 16S ribosomal RNA". It matches the Rfam family "Bacterial small subunit ribosomal RNA", at positions 354 to 796 of the family's 1533-position model. The record is from RNAcentral.